This 627-nucleotide ribosomal RNA is filed under the name uncultured bacterium. Its description in RNAcentral is "bacterial SSU rRNA". It matches the Rfam family "Bacterial small subunit ribosomal RNA", at positions 51 to 636 of the family's 1533-position model. The record is from RNAcentral.
AGGCAUGCAAGUCGAGCCGGGAUUCUAAUUUUUCAAUUCUUCGGAAGAGAAGUUUUAGAUGAGAGCGGCGAACGGGUUAGUAAUAAAUGGGUAAUUUGCCUCUUUGUUCGGAAUAGCCACCGGAAACGGUGAUUAAUGCCGGAUGUGUUCGGGAACUGCAUAGUUCCUUAUGUAAAGGCGGGGAUUCUUCGGAACCUGUCGCAAAGAGAUAAGCCCAUUUCCUAUCAGCUUGUUGGUGAGGUAAUGGCUCACCAAGGCUUACGGGUAGUUGGUCUGAGAGGAUGAUCAGCAACACUGGGACUGAGACACUGCCCAGACUCCUACGGGAGGCUGCAGUCGAGAAUCAUUGUCAAUGCACGAAAGUGUGAACAUGCGACGCCGCGUGGAGGAAGACGGCCUUUGGGUUGUAAACUCCUGUCAGCAGGGAGUAAGGAUGGUACCUUUAAUACAUGUGCCAUUUGAUAGUACCUGCAGAGGAAGUCACGGCUAACUCUGUGCCAGCAGCCGCGGUAAUACAUGAGGUGGCGAACGUUGUUCGGAUUUACUGGGCGUAAAGGGUCCGCAGGCGGUCCGGUGUGUCAGAUGUGAAAGCCCACAGCUUAACUGUGGAAUUGCAUUUGAAACUGC